UCAGUACGUAAUUUCUACUUUAAUCCCCGCCGUUCGUGAUAUUAUCUAUGUUACAUGUACCAUAUGUAAUAUUGUUGGCCAAAAGAUCCUGUGUUAGACAUAUGUUGUUCCAGUCAUGCGUGUCACGUUCAAUCUGGAUAGUUCCGCCAUCGCGGCUGCAGAACUGGUACGGAAGCCAUUUUGAUUUGACAUUUCCCUUCGGAAUACUGACUGUCUAACCGCUUGUGUUCACUGACGAGGUCCAUGAAGCGUGUCUUUGGUAGAAGUGUUGGCAACGACAAUAGCCAGAGUUCUGGCUUGCAACAAUAUCAUGAGAUCUCAAGCAAGGCUAUCGGAACAAUCUCGCCUUCUUUCACAAGAAAUAUCCUCCAAGAACGAGUGUGAAGACAUUAUGCUUUGAUCAUUGAAGGCUAUACCGAUCGAUAAUGGAAAACCUGAUAAAAAGAGAGAGCAAGAAAAUAUGUCUGCCUCUAAGCCAUUGCACCGACUGACGCGAGUGUUCAUGUUGGCAUUUAUACGACUUUUCAUACACGUGCUAGUCCAUGCAUAAAUAAUGUGUAGAAUUCAGCAUUGUAGCUACAUGGGAUGGACUCUACGUGAAUAUUAAUUUGCAGUUUGGAGAAAUAUGGGAAUAUCACACGCUUAUUUGUUUGCUCGGUGCAUUGAUCGAGAUGGAUGGUUUAACCAAGUGGUGUAUAUACUGGUGAACCGUUCUUAACGUAUGCGCCUAAGAUCAUUUUUCCUGGAGAAGUUUUUAAAAAGGUUAAAAGUAUUCACUCGAGACAGUUACGCAUGUGUGUUAUUGUUCUUUAGACAGUUGCAAAAAUAUUAAACAUAAUUUAAUUGUUUUAAUUAAUAUAUGUGUGGCUUUAUGUCAUUGUAAUGUCUUAAUGAACGAAUAAAUGUAGAUAUUGAAACAUAUUUCGCAUUAAGCUAUUGAAGAUAUAUAAUAUAUAUAUGGUUAUGAUAUACUGACUUGGUGUGUAAAUGUAAUAUAUAUUAUGUGUAUUUCAUGUAUCAUUUCAGUGAACAAUAAAUGUGUUUGUGACAUUUC
Haliotis rubra (blacklip abalone) is the source of this 1054-nucleotide long non-coding RNA. RefSeq lists it as uncharacterized. Lineage: Eukaryota; Metazoa; Mollusca; Gastropoda; Lepetellida; Haliotidae. The record is from RefSeq and is a predicted model, not a curated record. The transcript has 2 exons.